Sphaeramia orbicularis (orbiculate cardinalfish) is the source of this 354-nucleotide long non-coding RNA. RefSeq lists it as uncharacterized. The transcript is spliced from 3 exons. The record is from RefSeq and is a predicted model, not a curated record. NCBI's taxonomy places the organism in Eukaryota, Metazoa, Chordata, Actinopteri, Kurtiformes, Apogonidae.
AUUUUUGCAGUGUUAGACCUCUUGAUUCUGAUCUCCUUUCGUGGACUCCAAGGCCUGGACAUGGUUACACCCAAAGACUGAAAUCUUGCAUCUUUAGUCACAAAGUCAUUGGUCAAAUACUCAUUCCAGGGGUAGAAUGGAUGUUUCCUUUGGAAAUCUGUUAAAAGAGUGCUUCAGCUUCCCAUUGGAAUGGAUGCCUGAGGGCACAGUGGUGCAAAUAAUGUAAAUGGACUUUUUUUUUACCCUGUUAGUUACACUUUAAAGCAGCGGUUCUCAACUGGUCUGACUUCAGGACUCACUGUCAAACCUCAAUUACAAGCCACGACCCAAACUGGUAAAAGUUAAACUUCUCUG